RNAcentral lists this ribosomal RNA (1052 nucleotides) under uncultured eukaryote. Its description in RNAcentral is "bacterial SSU rRNA". It matches the Rfam family "Eukaryotic small subunit ribosomal RNA", at positions 639 to 1705 of the family's 1831-position model. The record is from RNAcentral.
UUUCUGUGGGGGCGGAGCGGCCGGCCGCAACUCGCGGUUCGAGCUAGCGCUUCCCCUACAUCCUGCCGCGAACCGUGCUACCAUUAGUUUGGUGGCGCCGGGGAUCGGCUCGUUUACUUUGAGAAAAAUAGAGUGUUCAAAGCAGGCCACACGCCUUGAAUAAGUUAGCAUGGAAUAAUAAUAAAGGACUUCGGUUCUAUUUUGUUGGUGUUCGGGACUGAAGUAAUGAUUGAUAGGGACAGUUGGGGCGGUCAGUAUUCCAAAGCGAGAGGUGAAAUUCUUAGACCUUCGGAAGACUAACAGCUGCGAAAGCGUUCCGCAAGGAUGUUCCCUUUGAUCAAGAACGAAAGUUGGGGGAUCGAAGACGAUCAGAUACCGUCGUAGUCUCAACUAUAAACUAUACCAGCUAGGGAUCGGCCAACGUUAAAUUAUCCGACUUGGUCGGCACCUUAUGAGAAAUCAAAGCAUCUGGGUUCCGGGGGGAGUAUGGUCGCAAGGCUGAAACUUAAAGGAAUUGACGGAAGGGCACCACCAGCCGUGGAGCCUGUGGCUUAAUUUGACUCAACACGGGAAAACUUACCAGGUCCAGACAUAGUAAGGAUUGACAGAUUGAUAGCUCUUUCUUGAUUCUGUGGGUGGUGGUGCAUGGCCGUUCUUAGUUGGUGGAGUGAUUUGUCUGGUUAAUUCCGUUAACGAACGAGACCCCAGCCUACUAAAUAGCGCGGUUGAGCUUUGCUCGGCGCGAGCUUCUUAGAGGGACUAUGAUGCGCGAUAGCACAUGGAAGUUUGGGGCAAUAACAGGUCUGUGAUGCCCUUAGAUGUUCUGGGCCGCACACGGGCUACACUGGCGCCUGCAACGAGCAUAUCAGCUGGCCCGAGAGGGUCUUGGCUAAUCUUUUGAACCGGCGCCGUGCUUGGGAUUGACCAUUGCAAUUGUUGGUCAUGCAACGAGGAAUGCCUUGUAAACGCGAGUCGUCAACUCGCAUUGAAUACGUCCCUGCCCUUUGUACACACCGCCCGUCGCUCUACGAUGAUGUCGAUGAAAUUUCGAA